RNA transcript from Pantherophis guttatus, 3505 nucleotides. It is a transcript of the gene named endosome-lysosome associated apoptosis and autophagy regulator 1, with no coding region annotated. NCBI's taxonomy places the organism in Eukaryota, Metazoa, Chordata, Lepidosauria, Squamata, Colubridae. The record is from RefSeq and is a predicted model, not a curated record.
GCGGCUACCGUCGCACCUGAGUCGGUGACUGCCUGCCCGAGGCGCCGCGCGACUACCGGCUCUUCGCUGUUUCUGCUGCGCCACGAUGGCUGGGGCUGGCAGGCUCCAUCCCGCUGAGGGGAUAACCAGAUGCUGCUGCUGCUGCUGCUGCGUCCACCCUGUUGGGAUCGGCUGGAGGCGCCUGCCGCUCCUUCUGCUCUGCCUGCUGUUGCUGCUUGGGGCGGGCGCCGCUACCCAGGGGGAGAAUCUCCACGCCUGCAAAGAGUCUGAAUACCAUUAUGAAUACACAGCAUGUGACAGCCUGGGCUCCAGAUGGAGAGUUGCUGUGCCCCACACCCCAGGACUCUGCACUGGCCUGCCAGAUCCCAUCAAAGGCACAGAAUGCUCAUUUUCUUGCAAAGCAGGUGAAUUCUUGGAUAUGAAAGAUCAGUCUUGCAAGCCAUGUGCAGAGGGCACAUAUUCUCUUGGGACUGGUGUCAGGUUCGAUGAAUGGGAUGAGUUGCCUCAUGGAUUUGCCAGCAUGGCAACCAAUUUUGAAAUUGAUUACAACCUCUUGGAGUCCUUGGGAAACUGCACCAAAUCAACAUGGAUUCCUAAGGGAGAUUAUAUUGCCUCCAACACGGAUGAGUGCAUAGCUACUCUGAUGUACGCUGUUAACCUCAAGCAAUCUGGGACCGUCUCCUUUGACUACAUCUAUCCAGACAGUAACAUUGUCUUUGAAUUCUUUGUUCAGAAUGACCAAUGUCAACCAACUGUGGAGGAUUCUAGGUGGAUGAGAACUACAGAGAAAGGUUGGGAGAAACACAGUGUGGAGCUAAGUCGUGGCAACAAUGUCUUGUACUGGAAGACAACGGCUUUCUCUGUUUGGUCCAAAACCCCCAAGCCUGUGUUGGUGAAAAAUAUUGGGAUUACAGGUGUGGCUUAUACUUCUGAAUGCUUUCCUUGUAAAGCAGGCACCUAUACUGCCAAAUCUGGUUCUUCCUUCUGUCAGCAGUGCCCAGCAAAUUCUUUUUCUUCCAAAGGAGCUACUUCCUGCCAGCAGUGUGAGACAGCAAAUUACUCAGAACCAGGUUCUUCUUCCUGCAAGACUCGCCCAGCCUGUACAGAUAAGGACUAUUUUUAUACCCACACGACCUGUGAUACAAAUGGGGAGACACAGCUAAUGUAUAAAUGGGCUGAGCCUAAAAUCUGCAAUGAGGACCUCCCCAAGGCAGUGAAGUUACCUCCAUCGGGUGUAAAGAUGAUGUGCCCCCCUUGUAAUCCUGGUUUUUUUAAGACAAAUGCCAGCACCUGUGAGCCUUGCCCAUAUGGAAAAUAUUCAAAUGGGUCUGGUUGUACCAAUUGUCCAGUUGGCACCGAGCCUGCGCUAGGCUUUGAAUACAAAUGGUGGAACACACUGCCAGCUAAUAUGGAGACUACAGUCCUCAGUGGAAUCAGUUUCGAAUAUAAGAGAAUGGCAGGGUGGGAAGUGGCAGGUGACUACAUCUAUACAGCUGCAGGAGCUUCUGACAAUGAUUUCAUGAUUUUAACAUUGGUGAUUCCUGGCUUCAGUCCACCACAAUCAGUUAUGGAAGACUCUGAAAAUAAGAAGGUAGCAGAAAUCACUUUUGUCUUUGAAACCAUCUGCAGUGUGAAUUGUGAACUUUAUUUUAUGGUGGGUAUGAAUUCUAGAACCAAUUCCCCUGUAGAAACCUGGUUUGGCUCCAAGGGAAAACAAUCCUAUACGUACGUUGUUGAGAAGAAUGCUACCACGAGUUUCACAUGGGCCUUCCAGAGGACAGCAUACAACGAAGCGGGAAGAAAAUACACAAAUGAUGUUGCCAGAUUGUACUCCAUCAAUGUGACCAAUGUUAUAGAUGGUGUAGCUUCUUAUUGCCGGCAGUGCGCUUUGGAAACCUCUGGCUCAUCCUGUACUUCCUGCCCUCAUGGGCACUACAUUGACAAAACAUCUGGUAGUUGUUCUCCAUGUCCAUCAAACACUUACCUGAAAGCUCACCAACCUUAUGGCAAUCAAGCUUGUAUCCCUUGUGGCCCUGGCACAAAAAAUAACAAGAUGCAUUCUCUGUGUUACAAUGACUGUCACUUCUCAAUCAGCAUGAAGGAUAGGACUCUAGAGUAUGACUUCUCCAGACUGGCUUACAGCACCUCCUUUUUAGGAGAGCCAAGCUUUACUUCAAAAGGCCUGAAGUACUUUCAUCACUUCAACAUUAGUCUAUGCGGAAAUUAUGGAAAGAAGUCUGCUCUCUGCAUAGAUAAUGUCACAGAUAUUCAUCUUUUGGACAAAGACACUGAGUUCUCCAAGUCAACUUCAUCCUAUGUAUGCCAGUCCGUCAUGAUUCCUUCCGAAGUGAUGGGUUACAAAACCAUGGUCUCUUCUCAGCCUGUGAGCCUGGCAGAUACCUUUGUGGGAGUAACAACAAAAUCUACUCUGGACAACAUAACUUCUCAUGCUGAUUAUUUUCCUGCUAAAAAUGGGGACUUACCUGAUGUCAUAUUCUUUUAUAGAUCCAACGAUGUGACCCAGACAUGCCAUGAUGGAAGAGUAACUACCAUUAGGCUGAGAUGUGACCCCCUAAAAUUUGAGUUUGGAGCUCUCUCUUUACCAAGCAAGUGUCCUGAUGGAACCUGUGAUGGAUGCACUUUCCAUUUCCUGUGGGAGUCGGUUGAAGCCUGUCCUCUCUGUUCUGCAGAAGAUUACCAUGCCAUUAUCAGUGCCUGCGUUGGAGGGAUACAGCGAACCACCUAUGUAUGGCGGAAGCCAAAGCUAUGCGCUGGAGGCAUCCUGCUUCCAGAAGAAAAAGUCAGCAUCUGCAAGUCCAUGGACUUCUGGCUUAAGGUGGGGAUCUCAGCUGGGACUUGUACUGCUAUCCUGCUGACCGUCAUGACUUGCUACUUCUGGAAGAAAAAUCAAAAGUUAGAGUAUAAAUACUCAAAGCUGGUUAUGAAUGCUAGUGCCAAGGACAGUGAACUGCCUGCAGCUGACAGUUGUGCCAUCAUGGAGGGGGAAGACGUAGAGGACGACCUGUUAUUCACAAGCAAGAAUUCUUUCUUUGGAAAAAUAAAGGCAUUCACUUCUAAAGCUUCUCUUAGGUACAGUCAGGCAUGGCAGGACUCUGUGUGUAGGGCUGUUCUCAAUAAACUAAGAGGAAGACUCUUCCAGUGCACUGAUACCUCCCAGUAGAAGCAAAAUCAUGUGCGGACAUCUGGGGAAGAAACAUCAAAAGCAAGUUUCUGAGAACAUCUGAUGGUUUUGAUUCUGUGCCCUUGAAGACCUCCUCUGGCACCACCGACAUGGAUCUUUAGAAGUCGUUUGCCUCUCCCAUACCUUUCGUGGAGGAUGCUUUGGGAGUUCUCCUUGAUUAAUACUGGCACUUUGAUGAACUUGCCAUGUGGCCUUAUUGGAAUAUCUUUUAACUUCAGCUUCUUACUGUACUUUUUUAAGUCAAACAUUUUAACAUUCCUCCAAAAACAAACUGUGCCAAAUAUAAUUGUGGUUUUAAAAUUA